RNAcentral lists this ribosomal RNA (253 nucleotides) under uncultured bacterium. RNAcentral describes it as "partial 16S ribosomal RNA". It matches the Rfam family "Bacterial small subunit ribosomal RNA", at positions 524 to 776 of the family's 1533-position model. The record is from RNAcentral.
UACGUAGGUGACAAGCGUUGUCCGGAUUUACUGGGCGUAAAGAGCGCGCAGGCGGUCGAUCAAGUCGAGUGUGAAAGCCCCCGGCUCAACUGGGGAGGGUCAUUCGAAACUGGUCGACUCGAAGGCAGGAGAGGGUAGUGGAAUUCCCGGUGUAGUGGUGAAAUGCGUAGAUAUCCGAAAGAACACCGGUGGCGAAGGCGGCGACCUGGGCCUGAACUGACGCUGAGGAGCGAAAGCUAGGGGAGCAAACGGG